Molecule: ribosomal RNA, 263 nt
Filed under: uncultured bacterium
Lineage: Bacteria
Description: partial 16S ribosomal RNA
Rfam family: Bacterial small subunit ribosomal RNA
Source: RNAcentral
GUCCACGCCGUAAACGAUGUCGACUAGCCGUUGGGAGCCUUGAGCUCUUAGUGGCGCAGCUAACGCAUUAAGUCGACCGCCUGGGGAGUACGGCCGCAAGGUUAAAACUCAAAUGAAUUGACGGGGGCCCGCACAAGCGGUGGAGCAUGUGGUUUAAUUCGAAGCAACGCGAAGAACCUUACCAGGCCUUGACAUCCUAUGAACUUUCCAGAGAUGGAUUGGUGCCUUCGGGAGCAUAGAGACAGGUGCUGCAUGGCUGUCGU